GACGAACGCUGGCGGCGUGCUUAACACAUGCAAGUCGUACGGUAAGGCCCUUUCGGGGGUACACGAGUGGCGAACGGGUGAGUAACACGUGAGUAACCUGCCCACAACUUUGGGAUAACGCUAGGAAACUGGUGCUAAUACUGGAUAUGUUCUCCUGCUGCAUGGUGGGGGUUGGAAAGCUCCGGCGGUUGUGGAUGGACUCGCGGCCUAUCAGCUUGUUGGUGGGGUAGUGGCCUACCAAGGCGGCGACGGGUAGCCGGCCUGAGAGGGUGACCGGCCACAUUGGGACUGAGAGACGGCCCAGACUCCUACGGGAGGCAGCAGGGGGGAAUAGUGCACAAUGGGCGCAAGCCUGAUGCAGCAACGCCGCGUGCGGGAUGACGGCCUUCGGGUUGUAAACCGCUUUCAGCAGGGACGAAGCUUUUUGUGACGGUACCUGCAGAAGAAGCACCGGCUAACUACGUG
RNAcentral lists this ribosomal RNA (465 nucleotides) under uncultured bacterium. Its description in RNAcentral is "partial 16S ribosomal RNA". It matches the Rfam family "Bacterial small subunit ribosomal RNA", at positions 28 to 507 of the family's 1533-position model. The record is from RNAcentral.